This 459-nucleotide ribosomal RNA is filed under the name uncultured bacterium. RNAcentral's name for it is "partial 16S ribosomal RNA". It matches the Rfam family "Bacterial small subunit ribosomal RNA", at positions 338 to 795 of the family's 1533-position model. The record is from RNAcentral.
CCUACGGGUGGCAGCAGUGAGGAAUAUUGGUCAAUGGGCGCGAGCCUGAACCAGCCAAGUCGCGUGAGGGAAGACGGUCCUAUGGAUUGUAAACCUCUUUUGUCGGGGAGCAAAAGACGCCACGCGUGGCGUUCCGAGAGUACCCGAAGAAAAAGCAUCGGCUAACUCCGUGCCAGCAGCCGCGGUAAUACGGGGGAUGCGAGCGUUAACCGGAUUUAUUGGGUUUAAAGGAUGCGCAGGCGGAAGAUCAAGUCAGCGGGAAAAUUGAGAGGCUCAACCUCGUCGAGCCAUUGAAACUGGUUGUCUUGAGUGAGCGAGAGGUAUGCGGAAUGCGUGGUGUAGCGGUGAAAUGCAUAGAUAUCACGCAGAACACCGAUGGCGAAGGCAGCAUACCGGCGCUCAACUGACGCUGAUGCACGAAAGUGUGGGGAUCGAACAGGAUUAGAUACCCGAGUAGUC